Molecule: non-coding RNA, 555 nt
Organism: Vicia faba (fava bean)
Lineage: Eukaryota; Viridiplantae; Streptophyta; Magnoliopsida; Fabales; Fabaceae
Source: the annotation of a GenBank genome assembly
AUGGUCGAGAUGUGGUGGAUGGAGGGAGUGCGGUCGGAUAUGAGAAUAGAAGUGUGGCGUCGAAGGAAGUCUCAUGCGUGGUGGUUGAGAUCCGGAAUUUGGAGUAACAUCACGCGAGUGUUUCACGGUGAUGAAGCUGGUUGCAGGAUACGUCACAGACGAAACUUGGAGGUAAAGCCUGCAGUUGGCAGCAGCAGUGACUGGGGGUUUCUUCUUCUUCUUCAGAAUUUCCUUCUGUUACCGAUUCUCCUCCCACUCUGUCUCUCUUUGCUGUCUUCUCCCUCUUGUAAUUGUUUUUCCUAUUCUUUUUAUAAUGUUCUUGGGUUUUAUAGAAUAAGAAAUAAACCUAUUAUUUUUUAUUGUAAUUUGAUUUUGGAAACAAAUUUGAUUCGGUUUGUAAUUGCUCUUAAAUUUGUUUUUGUUUUUGAGUUGAUUUUGCUUUUUUUUUGUUUCAUUGGCCCAACAUGUUUUCCUAAUUUGCUAGUAAAAUAUAAAACAAAAAAAACAAUAAUUAGUAAAAACAAUUUCUCAGAAAAUGGAAAUGGACCAAAUGUU